CCUACCUUUUAAACAAGCCUCUAUUUUGCAGCAGUGUUUCUCAGACUCUGUUAGUUGUAUAUUUCAUAUGCUUUUCUUUCUUUUGAUGGUGCCUUAGAAAACACGGUCCCAGAAUUUGAGGUUCCUGACUUCAGUACACUAACUAGACUUGCCAGGGAUGUUUCUAAUGGGAAUUUGAGAUACAUGUGAGAUGGUGCUUUAGAGCUGAUUGAAGCCGAUAUUGUAAGGCCCUCAAAUAUCCAGCCUUACCACCUGCCAGGGUUCCCCAAAUUAUCACUGUUCUAGGUCCUUCGAGCCCCUAUUAAUAGCAGCACCUGAUACCCACGCGGGGCAAUAAUACAUGAAUAUGUGAUCAGCCAGCAACACAUUGCUGUCAUUUAAUCAGACUAACUGGCUAUUACUUUUGCAAGGAAUAGAGUUCCAGGGGAGGGAAAAGAACAGGAUGUCCGGCUUUGCCUACCUUGAAAUCUGUCUUGCGUGAGAUUUUGCCCAUUGUAUGUUCUUAAUAAAACUCUAUGGAAAGAAAUUUU
RNAcentral lists this long non-coding RNA (530 nucleotides) under Homo sapiens (human). RNAcentral describes it as "HSALNT0200564". The record is from RNAcentral. Lineage: Eukaryota; Metazoa; Chordata; Mammalia; Primates; Hominidae.